UCAAGGUUCCUUUUUUACCAACUUAUCGGUGCAUGCCCUUGACCACAGUACAAAAAAGCAUUUACCAGCACUCUGCAGGUGAAAGGCUAUUCUGCAGUAUAAAUUGUACAUCUUAGAAACAGCAUAUUUUUAGCACUGAAAAGCUAUUCAAGAAUUCCUGUAUCUGUAGGCUAAGUGGUUUGCUUCAGCCCGGGGGCCGACAAUGCUGAUAUUUCAAGAAACCUAAUCUCUUAAUGAUUGGGAUCAGAGGAAUGGGUAUGGCCAUGAAAGAGACAGCUUGAAACAGGCCUAAUCUCAGGCAUAUCUGAAUUUACAAACAGAGCAGAGAGUCAGCAUUGCCACCAACAUUGUUUCAACUGACUGCAAUCUGUCUAUCCCAGGGUGGUCCAUCCAGCAAGAUUGAAUUCCACAUCCUAUCCCACACUGAAAUUUCUUACUCACGGAUACCUUCUCAUGACAGAAUUAUCACAUUUGUUCUCUUUGCACUGAAUGCAAUGGAAAUGUGGGACUGCCAUUAUGCAGAACUACCACUGUGAGAUGCAACCUUGAGAUCUCAGCCGUCUGUGUUAUCACCAGCCAAAAGACUCCAAAGAAUUAGGAAGAGGCCAUGUAAAAGCAAAGAAGACAUGCUGCAUGUAGUAAUGCAGCAGUCACUUAACAAGAAUCUAAAAGCGCAGAAGUGGAAGGAGACUGAAAGGAGGAUCCGCCAGCAGAAUGAGGAGCACCGGCACAAAAGCACGGAGCUCUGGCAGCAAAGCACGGAUCGGCUGAUAAGCAUCAUGGAGUGCCAAGCGGACUCAAUCCAGGAGCUUGUGGUCAUGCAGGUGGAGCACUACCGUGACACACACACACCCCGAGCCCUUGUCCCAAAACUCUUUCCCUUGGGCCCCCAUGUCACCUCCAACCCACUUUCCCCAACAUCCGGGUUCUUAUCACCACCAGCUGCCUCCAACACCUGUAGCUUCACCACCCAGCCCUGAAAACUAUGACCCUUACCCACUGCACUCAACCCCCAUCACCAUGCAUUAUAGCCAUCCUGAAGUGCAGCACUCAUUGCACAGCACUCCAGACAGGAAGGCUGAGUAUAACAACAGGAUAUAUGCAAAUCUGUGAUUGUCCUGUUCCCCACCCCACCCCCUUUGCCCUUUCUGUUUCCCAAGCAGUUGUGUUUCUUUUCAAUAAAUGGAUUUUUUGGCUUUGAAAACAUUCUUUAUUAUUGCCUAAAGUAAAAGAUACCUUAGCCCAGGAAAGCAACAGGCACUGCAAGUCAGCAUAGCAAACACAGAUUCCAACUAACAUUAGAACCACUGCACUUCAAUCCCAUGCAGGGCACCAAACAUUACUGGUGGCUUUCAGCCUCAAAUUGCUCCCUCAAGGUAUCCCUAAUCCUUGCAGCCCCGGGCUGGGCCCCUCUAAUAGCCCUGCUCUCUGGCUGUUCAAAUUCAGCCUCCAGGUGUUGAACCUCAGAGUUCCAUGCCUGACUGAAUCUUUCACCCUUACCUUCACAAAUGUUGUGGAGGGUACAGCACGCGGAUAUAACCGUGGGGAUGUCGUCAUCGGCCAGGUCCAGCUUCCCAUACAGAGAGCGCCAGAAGCCCUUUAAACGGCCAAAAGCACACUCCACAGUCAUUCUGCACCGGCUCAUCCUGUUGUUGAACCGCUCCUUGCUGCUGUCCAGGCUCCUUGUGUAGGGUUUCAUGAGUCACAGCAUUAAAGGGUAAGCAGGGUCUCCCAGGAUCACAAUGGGCAUUUCGACUUCCCCUAUGGUGAUCUUCUUGUCUGAGAAAAAAGUCCCGGCUUGCAGCUUCCUGAACAGGCCAGUGUUCUGAAAGAUGUGUGCGUCAUGCACCUUUCCGGGCCAGCCUGUGUUAAGGUCAAUGAAACGCCCACAGUGAUCCACAAGCGCCUGGAGAACCAUAGAGAAAUACCCCUUCCAGUUAAUGUACUCUGUGGCUAGGUGGGCUGGGCCAGAACUGGAAUAUCCAUCCCAUCUAUCACCCCUCUGCAGUUAUGGAAACCCAUUUGUGCAAAGCCAGCCACAAUGUCAUGCACGUUACCCAGAGUCACUGUUCUUCUGAGCAGGAUGCGUUUAAUGGCCCUGCAAACUUGCAUCAACACGAUUCCAAUGGUCAACUUUCCCACUCCAAACUGGUUAGCAGCCGAUCAGUAGCUGUCUGGAGUUGCCAGCUUCCAGAUUUCGAUAGCCACCUUCUUCUCUACCGUCAGGGCAGCUCUCAAUCUCGUGUCCUUGCGCCGCAGGAUGGGGGCGAGCUCCUCACACAGUCCCAUGAAAAUGGCUUUUCUCACACAAAAGUGCUGCAGCCACUGCUCAUCAUCCCAGACUUGCAGGACGAUGUGAUCCCACCACUUAGUGCUUGUUUCCAGAGCCCAAAAGUGGCGUUCCACGGUGGUGAGCAUGUCCAUGAAUGCCACAAGCAAUCUCGUGUCAUAUGUGUUACUCGAGUCGAUAUCAUCAUCGGACUCCUCACUGUCAGUUUGGAUCUUAAGGAGUAACUUGACUGCCAAACAUGAUGUGCUGGUGAGACUCGUCAGCAUAUUCCUCAGCAGUUCGGGCUCCACUCCCGCAGACCGAAAGGGAAGAUAGAGUGCGCAGUACAAAAAACAUUGAAAGAUGGCACCAAAUGUGAACAGAAGCACAGGGAUUGCUGGGAUGCGAACCGAUGCAUCAUGGGGCGUUGGGACAGGACCCAGAAUGCCCCGCUCCCCUCGCCCCCUUUCCAUAAGCCACAGCGCCAGAAUGGGAAGAGGUGCUCUGUGGGAUAGCUGCCCAUAAUGCACCACUCCCAAUGCCACUGCAAGUGCUGAAAAUGUGGCCACGCCAGUGCGCUUGCAGCUGUCAGUGUGGACAGACUGCAGCACUUUCCCUACUGUGCUCUACAAAGGCUGGUUUAACUCAAAGUGCUCUACAUCUGCAAGUGUAGCCAUGCCCUUAGUAAUCUGUAACAGUCCUUCAACAGACACAGAUUUCUCCCCUCACCACAUCAGCUUUUUUGACAGAUGCAUUAACCAGUCAAGGCUUCAUCUACUCCUCAACCCCCACAGCUCACCCAUUCAGGAAGGAAGGGGAAUAGCAGUGUAGUUACAGCCCCAGUUCCCCUUUCUGUACCAAGAGGUAAGGUCCAGAGAGGCUAUGUACACAUGCCCACAUGUUUUUAUUCCCCUUUACAUGCUUCACCAGCCAUGUGAGGUUUAACCACAAUCUGGCCCACAGAGACACACUUUUCUGUAAUUGUUAACACACAAUAUUAAGCAUCUACAAACCAGGGCAUCAUCUUUAACUUUAAGAAAGUAAAAAAUGAAUGCUAAGUAUAAGUGUUUACAAAUAUAGAUCAGACAAGCACUAUACAGGAAUUACCCUCUUCUACUUAAUUCACAAUUGAAGAUUUUUGUCAAAUACCAUGAUUCUAUUUUGUCCCACUUUCUUUAACUGAUAAAUUGCCUUGCCUUUCAAUAUUUUCAAAUGUAAACAACCUACUGCAUCAAGUAUUGAUUUUAUUUCAGAUGCAGUUUUUCAAUACCUUCAAAAAUAGCAAAGACUGUAUUGUGUGCCAUUCUCUCAAAGAUCAGUUACUACUGAAAAACAAUCAAAAAUCUUGAUGGAUUUUCUUAGUCUGAGGGAUGUGGGAAAAUAAACUAAUGUAAAGAAUUGAUAAGAUCUGUGGUUGAAAUACUUUUAUGGGGGGGAGGGGGAAAUCUAACACUCUGGUUUAGCACGUUACCAGAGAAGAAUUUACUGCAAUAAACUAAAAACACUUUGGAAUUGUAGUUGGAAAAGCAGCACUGUAAGUGAUGUCACAAGUGCGGAUACAGUUUCAUAUUCAUGUUUUAUUUUGCUGUAAUGAUUUUAAAUCCAUGUGAUGUUUAUAAACAUAUCGUGGUAUA
RNA transcript from Malaclemys terrapin pileata, 3903 nucleotides. RefSeq lists it as uncharacterized. Lineage: Eukaryota; Metazoa; Chordata; Testudines; Emydidae. The transcript has 2 exons. The record is from RefSeq and is a predicted model, not a curated record.